RNAcentral lists this ribosomal RNA (255 nucleotides) under uncultured bacterium. RNAcentral describes it as "partial 16S ribosomal RNA". It matches the Rfam family "Bacterial small subunit ribosomal RNA", at positions 524 to 778 of the family's 1533-position model. The record is from RNAcentral.
UACGGGGGGAGCAAGCGUUGUCCGGAAUCAUUGGGCGUAAAGCGCGCGUAGGCGGCCCUGUAAGUCCGUUGUGAAAGUCAAAGGCUCAACCUUUGAAAGCCGAUGGAUACUGCAGGGCUAGAGUCCGGAAGAGGCGAGUGGAAUUCCUGGUGUAGCGGUGGAAUGCGCAGAUAUCAGGAGGAACACCAAUAGCGAAGGCAGCUCGCUGGGACGGUACUGACGCUAAGGCGCGAAAGCGUGGGGAGCGAACGAGGA